CCUACGGGAGGCUGCAGUGGGGAAUAUUGCACAAUGGGCGCAAGCCUGAUGCAGCCAUGCCGCGUGUGUGAAGAAGGCCUUCGGGUUGUAGAGCACUUUCAGCGGGGAGGAAGGCGGUGAGGUUAAUAACCUCAUCGAUUGACGUUACCCGCAGAAGAAGCACCGGCUAACUCCGUGCCAGCAGCCGCGGUAAUACGGAGGGUGCAAGCGUUAAUCGGAAUUACUGGGCGUAAAGCGCACGCAGGCGGUCUGUCAAGUCGGAUGUGAAAUCCCCGGGCUCAACCUGGGAACUGCAUUCGAAACUGGCAGGCUAGAGUCUUGUAGAGGGGGGUAGAAUUCCAGGUGUAGCGGUGAAAUGCGUAGAGAGCUGGAGGAAUACCGGUGGCGAAGGCGGCCCCCUGGACAAAGACUGACGCUCAGGUGCGAAAGCGUGGGGAGCAAACAGGAUUAGAUACCCCAGUAGUC
Molecule: ribosomal RNA, 465 nt
Filed under: uncultured Klebsiella sp.
Lineage: Bacteria; Pseudomonadati; Pseudomonadota; Gammaproteobacteria; Enterobacterales; Enterobacteriaceae
Description: bacterial SSU rRNA
Rfam family: Bacterial small subunit ribosomal RNA
Source: RNAcentral